UCGGUAAGAUAGUGGUACAUAUCUGGCUACUAUCCUCCACGCUGAAAGUAUAUACCUUCACUAUUAGAAAUUAUUCGAUUUUAGAUCUAAAUUUAAAAUAAAAGGAAGCUCUGGGCUAUAAAGAUUUUACUAUAACAGCUUUAGUAAGAAUUAAUUUUUAAAUAGUUUGUAAGGAAGAAAGUUUACGCCUUCUUGGCUGUUGUUAUCUGGGCUCUCAGAAAUAUGGACAGGCAUAUAAACCUUGGAUGCAGAAUUCUUGAAGCUAGUCUAGAUUACGUAAUUUGCCUCAAACAAGAACUCGUACAUGUACCUGCAGUUUAUUAACUUUGCCACUUUGGUCUGUAAUUUUUUUUUUUUAAUUUUACGACACAAAAGCAUAAACUUUUAGGGAA
Zophobas morio is the source of this 392-nucleotide long non-coding RNA. RefSeq lists it as uncharacterized. NCBI's taxonomy places the organism in Eukaryota, Metazoa, Arthropoda, Insecta, Coleoptera, Tenebrionidae. The transcript is spliced from 3 exons. The record is from RefSeq and is a predicted model, not a curated record.